AAUAGAUACCCCGGUAGUCCACGCCGUAAACGAUGAGUGCUAAGUGUUAGGGGGUUUCCGCCCCUUAGUGCUGCAGCUAACGCAUUAAGCACUCCGCCUGGGGAGUACGGUCGCAAGACUGAAACUCAAAGGAAUUGACGGGGGCCCGCACAAGCGGUGGAGCAUGUGGUUUAAUUCGAAGCAACGCGAAGAACCUUACCAGGUCUUGACAUCCCAUUGACCACUAUGGAGACAUAGUUUUCCCUUCGGGGACAACGGUGACAGGUGGUGCAUGGUUGUCGUCAGCUCGUGUCGUGAGAUGUUGGGUUAAGUCCCGCAACGAGCGCAACCCUUGUUCUUAGUUGCCAUCAUUUAGUUGGGCACUCUAAGGAGACUGCCGGUGACAAACCGGAGGAAGGUGGGGAUGACGUCAAAUCAUCAUGCCCCUUAUGACCUGGGCUACACACGUGCUACAAUGGACGGUACAAACGGUUGCCAACCGCGAGGGGGAGCUAAUCCGAUAAAACCGUUCUCAGUUCGGAUUGUAGGCUGCAACUCGCCUACAUGAAACCGG
This 553-nucleotide ribosomal RNA is filed under the name uncultured bacterium. Its description in RNAcentral is "bacterial SSU rRNA". It matches the Rfam family "Bacterial small subunit ribosomal RNA", at positions 777 to 1329 of the family's 1533-position model. The record is from RNAcentral.